Molecule: unclassified non-coding RNA, 502 nt
Filed under: Candida tropicalis
Lineage: Eukaryota; Fungi; Ascomycota; Pichiomycetes; Serinales; Debaryomycetaceae
Description: ITS1
Rfam family: 5.8S ribosomal RNA (bases 143-296)
Source: RNAcentral
AAACGGAUUUUGCUUAUUGCACCACAUGUGUUUUUUAUUGAACAAAUUUCUUUGGUGGCGGGAGCAAUCCUACCGCCAGAGGUUAUAACUAAACCAAACUUUUUAUUUACAGUCAAACUUGAUUUAUUAUUACAAUAGUCAAAACUUUCAACAACGGAUCUCUUGGUUCUCGCAUCGAUGAAGAACGCAGCGAAAUGCGAUACGUAAUAUGAAUUGCAGAUAUUCGUGAAUCAUCGAAUCUUUGAACGCACAUUGCGCCCUUUGGUAUUCCAAAGGGCAUGCCUGUUUGAGCGUCAUUUCUCCCUCAAACCCCCGGGUUUGGUGUUGAGCAAUACGCUAGGUUUGUUUGAAAGAAUUUACGUGGAAACUUAUUUUAAGCGACUUAAGUUUAUCCAAAACGCUUAUUUUGCUAGUGGGCACCACAAUUUAUUUCAUAACUUUGACCUCUAAUCAGGUAGGACUACCCGCUGAACUUAAGCAUAUCAAUAAGCGGAGGAAAAGG